CCUACGGGUGGCAGCAGUGAGGAAUAUUGGUCAAUGGCCGGAAGGCUGAACCAGCCAAGCCGCGUGAGGGAGGAAGGCGCAGAGCGUCGCAGACCUCUUUUGCCGGGGGACAAAAUGCCGGACUCGUCCCGUCCUGAGGGUACCCGGAGAAAAAGCAUCGGCUAACUCCGUGCCAGCAGCCGGGGAAAUACGGAGGAUCCGCGGGUUAUCCGGAUUCAUUGGGUUUAAGGGGGGCGCAGGGGGGCCUUUAAGCCGGCGGGGAAAUCGCGGGGCUAAACCCCGCAGAGCCGUCGGAACUGGGGGCCUGGAGUGCGGCGGAGGCAUGCGGAAUGCGCGGUGUAGCGGUGAAAUGCAUAGAUAUCGCGCAGAACCCCGAUUGCGAAGGCAGCGUGCCGUGCCGCCACUGACGCUGAGGCACGAAAGCGCGGGGAUCGAACAGGAUUAGAUACCCCAGUAGUC
Molecule: ribosomal RNA, 459 nt
Filed under: uncultured bacterium
Lineage: Bacteria
Description: partial 16S ribosomal RNA
Rfam family: Bacterial small subunit ribosomal RNA
Source: RNAcentral